Molecule: ribosomal RNA, 468 nt
Filed under: uncultured bacterium
Lineage: Bacteria
Description: partial 16S ribosomal RNA
Rfam family: Bacterial small subunit ribosomal RNA
Source: RNAcentral
GAUGAACGCUGGCGGCGUGCCUAACACAUGCAAGUCGAGCGAUCUUCUUCGGAAGAGAGCGGCGGACGGGUGAGUAACGCGUGGGUAACCUGCCCUGUACACACGGAUAACAUACCGAAAGGUAUGCUAAUACGAGAUAAUAUACUUUUAUCGCAUGGUAGAAGUAUCAAAGCUCCGGCGGUACAGGAUGGACCCGCGUCUGAUUAGCUAGUUGGUAAGGUAACGGCUUACCAAGGCGACGAUCAGUAGCCGACCUGAGAGGGUGAUCGGCCACAUUGGAACUGAGACACGGUCCAAACUCCUACGGGAGGCAGCAGUGGGGAAUAUUGCACAAUGGGCGAAAGCCUGAUGCAGCAACGCCGCGUGAGCGAUGAAGGCCUUCGGGUCGUAAAGCUCUGUCCUAUGGGAAGAUAAUGACGGUACCAUAGGAGGAAGCCCCGGCUAACUACGUGCCAGCAGCCGCAGUAA